Molecule: long non-coding RNA, 787 nt
Filed under: Capra hircus (goat)
Lineage: Eukaryota; Metazoa; Chordata; Mammalia; Artiodactyla; Bovidae
Description: lncRNA (ENSCHIG00010017198.1)
Source: RNAcentral
GGGACAGCCCCGGUGAAGCGGGGACAAGAAAGGGGAGGGAGGAACCCGCGUAGGACGCGGCGCUCGCGCACCCUAAAGGUUAAAGGGGCGAAGGGGCGGAGCGCUGGUUGCCUAGGAGACCCGCUGCGAGCGGCCCCUGGCGACAGCGGCCGGGGGCGGGGCGCGUCGGGGCGCCGUGACGUCAUGCACGGCCGGCAGCGGGCGGUGCUGGGUUCUGAAGGACGUAGUCUCCCAGCGGCGUCACGUAACUGGCUGCUGUCCGGAAACGCCCAGGCGCCCAUGGGCUAAGCAGCAGGAUCUGUUUUGGGUUGGAAUCCUGCUGAAUGGAAGGAGUGCAGUGUCUCCCUUCCUGGACGAUAUGAGGGAAGAAGAAAACAGAGAAGAUAGUUUUACUGUGACAUGUAACAUCAAAGGUGGCUUCUUGCUGUCUGAACUUGCCCAUGUUUGACUGUGACUCUCCUGCAGGCCAUUCACUUUUCCAGAGACUGCCCUCAUGGUUUCCUAAAAGUGAAUUGUAGAGACAUCUCUACUCUAGGAGGCCACUUGGAAAUCCCCCUACUGGCUGCAGGAAACACUAUGGUCACUUAAACUCUGCCUCUCCAUGCUAAGCUCUCCUAUUACUCUACUAAAGGCGCACUAGCUUGGAGGAGAGCCUUAAGACAAUGCCAGGCCAGAUCUCAUCAAGAAAAUUAGAGAUACCAAGGGAAUACCAAUACCAAUGAAAUCAUGCAAAGAUAGGCACAAAAAAGGACAGAAAUAGUAUGGACCUAACAGAAGCAGAAGAUAU